This 334-nucleotide unclassified non-coding RNA is filed under the name Clavulina sp. RNAcentral's name for it is "partial contains 5.8S ribosomal RNA, internal transcribed spacer 2, and large subunit ribosomal RNA". The stretch from base 278 to 334 matches the Rfam family "Eukaryotic large subunit ribosomal RNA", at positions 1 to 57 of the family's 3401-position model. Lineage: Eukaryota; Fungi; Basidiomycota; Agaricomycetes; Cantharellales; Hydnaceae. The record is from RNAcentral.
GUGAGUCAUCGAAUCUUUGAACGCAUCUUGCGCCCCUUGGUUACUCCGAAGGGCAUGCCUGUUUGAGAGUCAUUAUUAAUCUCAACUUUGGAGUUUGCUUGUCAGACUCUGAAGCUUGGAUGUGGGGGGGACUUUGUGCUGGCAUUUACGUGCUGGCUCCUCUGAAAUGUAUUAGCCGAAUCUUGAUGUCCUUUUGGCUCUGGUUUGAUAAAUGAUAUCUAUGCCAUUGCUGAGGGAAAUGGUUUCUGCUUAUAAAUCCCGAGUCUAUUUUGAAACUUGACCUCAAAUCAGGUAGGACUACCCGCUGAACUUAAGCAUAUCAAUAAGCGGAGGA